This is a long non-coding RNA of Sapajus apella (tufted capuchin), 548 nucleotides long. RefSeq lists it as uncharacterized. The record is from RefSeq and is a predicted model, not a curated record. Lineage: Eukaryota; Metazoa; Chordata; Mammalia; Primates; Cebidae. The transcript has 3 exons.
AGGGAGGAAAAAGGAGGGAGAGCAUCAGGAUAAAUAGCUAAUGCAUUUGGGGCUUUAAACCUAGGCGAUGGGUUGAUAGGUGCAGCAGAUCAUCAUGGCACAAGUUUGCAUAUGUAACAAACCUGUACAAUCUGCACAUAUAUCCCAGAACAUAAAAUAUUUUUAAAAAUUGGGUCUUUGUAGAUUAUCAAGUUCAGAUCGUUCAUUAGAGUGAUCCCUAAUCCAAUAAGACUAUUUUUUAUAAAAGAAGGACAAUUUUGACACAGAUAUAGGCAGGUAUACGAGGAGAACACCAAGUGAACAUGAAGGCAGAGAUGAGGUGAUACAUUUGCAAGGCAGAGUGCCAAAGUUGUCAGCAAACCACUAAAAACUAGGAGAGGGGCAUGGAGCAGAUUCUCCUUCAAAGCCCUCAGAAGGAGCUAAGGUUGCCGACACCUUUAUCUCGAACUUUUAGCGGCUAGAAAUUGAGACACAAAUUUCUGUUUAAACCAUUCAGUUUGUGAUACUUUGUUGCAGUAACCCUAGCAAAUGAAUACAGAACCACUUAA